This 730-nucleotide long non-coding RNA is filed under the name Nicotiana tabacum (common tobacco). Its description in RNAcentral is "long non-coding RNA (NTAB_LNC003420)". The record is from RNAcentral. Lineage: Eukaryota; Viridiplantae; Streptophyta; Magnoliopsida; Solanales; Solanaceae.
CUGUAAGUUCUGGCUGCAUAUUUCCAUUAUUCUUUUGAAAAGCUUUCUCGUUUUGCCGUGAUUGAAUCUAUAUAUGAUCAGUCAUAUAACUUUUUGAAUGAAAUCCAUGUCUUCUCUUCCUGCUUGCUUUACACACAUCUCCAUUAGUUGGACUCCAUUUUGAAGGACAACCACAUGCAUUACUAGCAAUACAUUUGUGAUUUGUCAUUAAUAUGUUGGCUGUAAUGUUCUUUCAUUUGCUUGAUUGUCUAUUCGAAUGAGUGCUUAUUUCUUGUUUGAUGGCAAUAAAAAGACAGUUGCAGGCAUGUCUCAAAGAUUUCCUACUCCAUCAAUUAAUUUGUUGUCAUUUUUGCUUCUUUUCCCUUUUGACAUCCCAAUAGAUAGAAGUCAGCCCAAAAAUUGUACUGUGUUACAUCCAGUCUUUGCCCUGUCAUGCUGUAAAUGAUUAUUGUAUGUCAGCUCCUGCAUAGUAAGAUACUUUGUUAAUUGGUACUAUUAACUUCUGGCCUACGUGAAAUGAAGCUUAUGCAUGUUAAUAUUAGAACUGAACCUGUUUGUGGUUUGGGCUUUUCAUUCGCAUUGUGAAAAUAGGAAAUGUGCUGUAAUCAUUCUUUUAACCUAAUUUUCUGAUUUUUCUAAUAACAAACUCGUCUUCUUCCUUGCUAAUAGCUGAGUAUAAUUUCUACGUCCAUCAGUCUUUCAGAGCCUCACAUCUUAACUCAUUUCAGGG